This 238-nucleotide long non-coding RNA is filed under the name Capsicum annuum. RNAcentral describes it as "long non-coding RNA (CANN_LNC004783)". The record is from RNAcentral. Lineage: Eukaryota; Viridiplantae; Streptophyta; Magnoliopsida; Solanales; Solanaceae.
AAUUAGAAAUUUCAACGCAUCCUCACUUGGAGCACCAGAAAACCUAGGUGGAGCCAAUCUCAAGAAUAUACCUAGCAUCUUCUUCUCCUUAAUAGAAAUAGCAGGAUAGGAAACCACUGGCUAAACAGUUACUGAUUGAACAACUAUUAACGUAGGAGGGACCUUAACUCUGGGAGCCACAACUAUAGGUUGCUCCCCACCUUAGUACCACUUUGAUCUGAAAACUGUGCACCAUCAG